UACGUAGGGUGCGAGCGUUGUCCGGAAUCACUGGGCGUAAAGGGCUCGUAGGCGGCCUGGCAAGUCGAUGGUGAAAGCCCGAGGCUCAACUUCGGGGCGGCCACUGAUACUGCUGGGCUUGAGUCGACUAGAGGCAGAUGGAAUUCCGGGUGUAGCGGUGGAAUGCGUAGAGAUCCGGAAGAACACCGGUGGCGAAGGCGGUCUGCUGGGGUCGAACUGACGCUGAGGCGCGACAGCGUGGGGAGCAAACAGG
RNAcentral lists this ribosomal RNA (253 nucleotides) under uncultured bacterium. RNAcentral's name for it is "partial 16S ribosomal RNA". It matches the Rfam family "Bacterial small subunit ribosomal RNA", at positions 524 to 776 of the family's 1533-position model. The record is from RNAcentral.